RNAcentral lists this ribosomal RNA (700 nucleotides) under Microbacterium mangrovi. RNAcentral's name for it is "bacterial SSU rRNA". It matches the Rfam family "Bacterial small subunit ribosomal RNA", at positions 173 to 894 of the family's 1533-position model. The record is from RNAcentral. Lineage: Bacteria; Bacillati; Actinomycetota; Actinomycetes; Micrococcales; Microbacteriaceae.
UGACCCCCGGCCGAACGGCGGGGGUUGGAAAGAUUUCUUGGUUGGGGAUGGGCUCCCGGCCUAUCAGCUUGUGGGAUAGGUAAUGGCUCACCAAGGCGUCGACGGGUAUCCGGCCUGAGAGGGUGACCGGCCACACUGGGACUGAGACACAGCCCACACUCCUACGGGAGGCAGCAGUGGGGAAUAUUGCACAAUGGGCGGAAGCCUGAUGCACCAACGCCGCGUGAGGGAUGACGGCCUUCGGGUUGUAAACCUCUUUUAGCAGGGAAGAAGCGAAAGUGACGGUACCUGCACAAAAAGCACCGGCUAACUACGUGCCACCAGCCGCGGUAAUACUAGGGUGCAAGCGUUAUCCCGAAUUAUUGGGCGUAAAGAGCUCGUAUGCGGUUUGUCACGUCUGCUGUGAAAUCCCGAGGCUCAACCUCGGGCCUGCCGUGGGUACGGGCAGACUACAGUGCGGUAUGGGAGAUUGGAAAUCCUGGUGUAACCCUGGAAUGCGCAGAUAUCAGGAGGAACACCCAUGGCGAAAGCGGAUCUCUGGGCCGUAACUGAUACUCACGAGCGAAAGGGUGGGGAGCAAACAGGCUUAAAAACCUGGUAGCCCCCCCCCCUACGCUCGGAAAAUUUGUGGGGGCCAAUCUACCCAUUCCCGACGAAACUCACCCACUAAAUUCCCCCCCUGGGGAGUCAGCCGCAGGGC